This is a long non-coding RNA of Mauremys reevesii (Reeves's turtle), 2791 nucleotides long. RefSeq lists it as uncharacterized. NCBI's taxonomy places the organism in Eukaryota, Metazoa, Chordata, Testudines, Geoemydidae. The record is from RefSeq and is a predicted model, not a curated record. The transcript is spliced from 6 exons.
CAGCUUGGCUUUAAUCCAAUUGACUAACCUAUGCAUGAAAUACAUGUGCCAAGGUGUUUCAGUAGGGACCUUUUAAUCUGAAGAGUUAUAAAAAACAAAUCUGAAACAUACCUGAACCAAAACCCUGGAAGUGGACACACCUCAACACCUCAACUUUGGGAUGGUAUCAUAACACUAGAUUAGCUCCUCACAUCUUCCCUGGGCUGCUGGAGAGUUAUUAAUGCAAAAUGAAGUCUCCUUUCCAGUGGAACAGGAAGGUUCUGCUUUGGACAGGGGGCUGUCCAGGAACAGCAUGAAGGGAGAAUGAAGGGACAAGACACGGUCAGGCUCGGGGCUGCGCCCCUGACAACAUGCUCCCGGUUGAGGAUAAGGGACAGGCAGGGAUAUGUACAGAUUCCUGGAUGAGUGCAUGGCUGCACAGAUGAUGUCAAUGAGUGGGCUUCAGCUUCCUUGACCAUGGGAUGGUGUUCCAGGAAGGAGGACUGGUGAGAAGAGAUGGAGUCCACCUGAACAAGAAUGGGAUAAGUAUCUUUUUACUGGCUUUCCAACUUGAACAGGUGGAUAAGAAGAUGGUGGAAUGGGGCAAGGUCGGAAGCAUCUCUUACUCAAGCUGUGCAGCGGUAUCCAGAGGUGUUACAGUCCUGAUGAGCUCCCCCUGCUGGACACCACCAGUCUGCUGUACUGGAGCCAACUCUUGGGCUGCAUGUGCUCUUGGAUUGCUGAAGCUGGACAGAGUUUAGAUACUGACCCUCUCUCACAUGCUCCAGCUGCAGACCCAGUAUCUGAUACCUCUCUGGGCAGUGGGAAACCGGCAGUCCAGAGGCUUAGGCCCUAAACUAGUGCCAGCUCUCCUAAGCCUCCUCAAUAGCUGCUUCACACUCCCUGAGGCCAGGUCUAAACUAUAAACUUACAUUGGUAUACCUACAUUGCUCAGGGGUGUGAAAAAUCCAUGCACCUGAGGGACGCAGUUAUACCGACCUAACCCCCGGUGUAGAUAGUGCUAUGUUGACGGGAGAGCUUCUUCUGUCAACGUAGCUACCGCUUCUCAUAGAGGUGGAUUAACUAUGCUGAUGGGAGAUGCUCCAUUUCUUCACUGACACAUUAGCUGCGCCACUGCAGCAUUUUAAGGGUAUACCUGCCCUGAGUUACACCAAAGCUGUAGACCCUCUACUUUACUGUCUGCCUCUUUGGGGAUUAUGUGACAGUGUAAGCAAGUAACACAGAGACGCUGCAAAAGAUUUUCUAACUACACACAAACUGUACUCCUAGAGAAAACAAAAGAUGUAUAUGGAUCUGCAGAAAAACAAUAACGACCUGCACACAAAAAUCUCCCUCCAGUAUCCUCAUCUUUCUGAGAGCCCUUUGAGCUUAGGUCAGUCCUUUUAGAGGUCCCAGAUCCUUCUUGCAGUCCCUUUUGUCAGGUAACCACCUUAAAUUCCUUCAAAUCCCUUGUCAGGUAAUCCACUGCUUGGUUGCUAGCUUACCUGAAAGGCUGGGAGGUAGCCAAGUUAUUGUCCAACGCUGCUUGUAUUUGAAGAAGAGACCUUCCAGGUUGACGACCCUUGUUGCCCUGCAUUGUUUGCCUUUUGUCAAAUCGAUACUUCUUAUCAUUCUAAUCCAAGAUGCAGGCAAAAAGACAACAGGGAAGGCACAGGACAAUCUUAUAAUCAAAAUGAGGCUCACGAAGCAGAAUGAAUGUGUAGUUUGAUAUAGAUACAUACAGAGAUAUACUAAAUCACAAAAUAGUAACCUGUUUUGCUGGCUAUUCUAGCAAGCCUAAAUCAUCUCUUCUUCAUUAUGGACAUGAUCCAAUGUGCAGAGAAGUUAAUGGGAGUCUUGCACAUUGGAUCAGACUAUAACAGCAUAUGUUACUGGGUCUAAAGUAUAAAUUCUUGAGAAAAGUCAUUAUGGUCCAUUCUUAAUAGCCACUUUGAAAAUUGCAAUAUUGUGGCCAAUUUAAAAGUCUCUUAAUUUUUUUUAUUUAAAAGUCAGUCAAAGUAUGGACAAACAGAACAGUACUGUGAAGUUCCAGGCACCUCCUUUAAGACUCUUGACCUCAUUUUUGCUAAUCUUUCCUGCUUCCUUCUAUCCCUCCCCCCUCCUUCCCCGAUCCUUGAAAUGGACACAAAGGAUGAAAUCCUGGGUCUGUUGAAGUCCAUGGCAAUUUAACAUUGACUUCUUUGGGGGCAUGAUUUCACCCCAGGCCUCCAGCAAUUUCAGGUACCCUAAGGACAGAAUGGCCCAGCAUCCACACUGUUACAAGGUGCAGCAUUUCUUCUCCUUUGCACCAAGACACUGCCCUAACCUUUCUUGUUCUUUGUCCCAUCUGACUGCUAUUCUGCUUAGCAGCUAUAUUGAGGCACUAGGGUUCUCACCCCUGCUUGUGCACAUGCAAAGAGACUGGAUACAAUGUGCCCCAAAAUGUCACCACAUACAAACCCAAACAAAAAUCACACAUUGUAAUGUGGCAAUGACACCUAUUAAGCAAUAGUAAUAAACAUAAGUGAUAUUAAGGGUCUAAUUCUCUUCCCUCUGAAAUUAGGGAGAAGUUUGCUAUUGAUUUCAGUAGGAAAAGGAUAUAGCCUAGAGUGUAAUUCCUGGAUUUUCUAGUGGCAUUUUAAAUCAUGCUUACUUUACCUCACUUGCCCUAUUUUUUUCUUCUUGUCGCACCCACUAUGUAUGCCUUUCAUAGGCUCUUCUUUGUAAAAUGAAAAGAGAAAAUCAUGUAAUUUACAACUCUUCUAAAUGUAUCUAUCAGCUUGUCAGAAUGGCUUAUUAAAGAGCCGGGUCA